Molecule: ribosomal RNA, 813 nt
Rfam family: 5.8S ribosomal RNA (bases 337-489)
AGGAUCAUUGCACACACAAAGUUGCAGCAAACCCCCUUUGCGAAUUUCAUGAAUGUCCCCCUUGUGUUUUGGGGGCUGGGGCGUCGUCGUCACUACUCUUGUGGUGGUGGUGGUGGUGUCCCCGGCCUGCCGAACACAUCCAAGUCCCCCCAAUACAAUGGGAGGCUUGGGGCUCCUCCCUGAACCGGGUAGGCGGCCCCUUGUCCCCCCUGGGAGGACUUGGUAACCAACCGAUUGCGCAAUGCAUCAACACUUUCAAUAUGACUGAGUAUAAAAAUUUCGGGACACUGCCGCUUGCAAAGGCGGUGGCGUCCCCGAGUUGUGAUAAACAAAAACAACUCUCAGCAACGGAUAUCUUGGCUCUUGCAACGAUGAAGAACGCAGCGAAAUGCGAUACGUAGUGUGAAUUGCAGAAUUCCGCGAAUCAUCGAGUCUUUGAACGCAAGUUGCGCCCGAGGCUUGACCAAGGGCAUCUCUGCCAGAGCGUCACCGCGACACCCACCAAUCCACUCCAAGUGGAUUGAGUGAAACUGGCCAUCCGAAUGUGGCCACCCGGGGGGAAGGCAACUUCUCUCCUGGGUGGCAGAUUGGGUUGGCUGAAAUGGAGGGAAUUUGGCCGCCGUGGUGACACAGCCCGCGAUCAGGUGAUCCAGGCCCCCCCACUUGCAAAGGUGGUGGGUGUCCUGGAACUCAAAUGUGCGUUGGUUGUGCUCUCUGCCCAGUCAUGAAUUCCAAAGCAGGUCCCUCGCGACACUCGGUCCCUUCUAGUGACUAGUCACCAAGGGGGGCUGGGUGGAGAGCGAGGAAAACGUC